UGUGUUUGGAGGCGGGACUGCAGACCGCUGAGUGUCCAAUGGAAACUGUGGACAGUUUUACACCGUCCAAUCAGCAACAAGAACAGCAGGUCCGGCUCACAUGUCUCGGAUGUCUCGGAGGAGAACCGGGUCACAUUAAUCACAUCAUGG
Molecule: long non-coding RNA, 150 nt
Organism: Scomber scombrus (Atlantic mackerel)
Lineage: Eukaryota; Metazoa; Chordata; Actinopteri; Scombriformes; Scombridae
Exons: 3
Source: RefSeq, a predicted model, not a curated record